This 253-nucleotide ribosomal RNA is filed under the name uncultured bacterium. Its description in RNAcentral is "partial 16S ribosomal RNA". It matches the Rfam family "Bacterial small subunit ribosomal RNA", at positions 524 to 776 of the family's 1533-position model. The record is from RNAcentral.
UACGAAGGAGGCGAGCGUUGUUCGGAAUUACUGGGCUUAAAGGGUGCGUAGGCGGCGCGGCAAGUCGGGUGUGAAAUCCCUCGGCUCAACCGAGGAAUGGCGCUCGAAACUACCGUGCUCGAGGAAGGCAGAGGUGAGCGGAACUCAGGGUGGAGCGGUGAAAUGCGUUGAUAUCCUGAGGAACACCGGUGGCGAAAGCGGCUCACUGGGCCUUUUCUGACGCUGAUGCACGAAAGCUAGGGGAGCAAACGGG